UGGGGAAUAUUGCACAAUGGGCGCAAGCCUGAUGCAGCCAUGCCGCGUGUGUGAAGAAGGCCUUCGGGCUGUAAAGCACUUUCAGCGGGGAGGAAGGCGUUAAGGUUAAUAACCUUGGCGAUUGACGUUACCCGCAGAAGAAGCACCGGCUAACUCCGUGCCAGCAGCCGCGGUAAUACGGAGGGUGCAAGCGUUAAUCGGAAUUAUUGGGCGUAAAGGGUACGCAGGCGGUUUAAUAAGUCGAAUGUUAAAGAUCGGGGCUCAACCCCGUAAAGCAUUGGAAACUGAUAAACUUGAGUAGUGGAGAGGAAAGUGGAAUUCCUAGGGUAGUGGUGAAAUACAUAGAUAUUAGGAGGAAUACCAGUGGCGAAGGCGACUUUCUGGACACAAACUGACGCUGAGGUACGAAAACGUGGGGAGCAAACAGG
This 428-nucleotide ribosomal RNA is filed under the name Chloroflexota bacterium. RNAcentral's name for it is "Chloroflexi bacterium partial 16S ribosomal RNA". It matches the Rfam family "Bacterial small subunit ribosomal RNA", at positions 355 to 776 of the family's 1533-position model. The record is from RNAcentral. Lineage: Bacteria; Bacillati; Chloroflexota.